RNAcentral lists this ribosomal RNA (497 nucleotides) under uncultured bacterium. Its description in RNAcentral is "partial 16S ribosomal RNA". It matches the Rfam family "Bacterial small subunit ribosomal RNA", at positions 28 to 507 of the family's 1533-position model. The record is from RNAcentral.
GAUGAACGCUGGCGGCGUGCCUAAUACAUGCAAGUCGAGCGAACAGACGAGGAGCUUGCUCCUCUGACGUUAGCGGCGGACGGGUGAGUAACACGUGGAUAACCUACCUAUAAGACUGGGAUAACUUCGGGAAACCGGAGCUAAUACCGGAUAAUAUAUUGAACCGGAUGGUUCAAUAGUGAAAGACGGUUUUGCUGUCACUUAUAGAUGGAUCCGCGCCGUAUUAGCUAGUUGGUAAGGUAACGGCUUACCAAGGCGACGAUGCGUAGCCGACCUGAGAGGGUGAUCGGCCACACUGGAACUGAGACACGGUCCAGACUCCUACGGGAGGCAGCAGUAGGGAAUCUUCCGCAAUGGGCGAAAGCCUGACGGAGCAACGCCGCGUGAGUGAUGAAGGUCUUCGGAUCGUAAAACUCUGUUAUUAGGGAAGAACAAAUGUGUAAGUAACUAUGCACGUCUUGACGGUACCUAAUCAGAAAGCCACGGCUAACUACGUG